GCACUGGCAAAAUAUUUUAAAGCCCAGGUGGCAGAGAAAAGAAAUGCUAAAAUACUCCAAUAGGAAUUAUGCUAGUUUAGUUUUACCAUAAGUCAUGUUGCAUCACAGAUUCCUUAUUUCAUUGUUUGAGAGACUUCACAGGGGAUAUAGUUGGAUCUUCUAGGUGCAAUUUAGGAGUUGGAGGUAUCUGGGCCUAAAACUCUUUCCAUAUUUAUGAGUUAAUGGACAACCUGGAUUGCACAGCCCAUCUCUGCUUGCUCUGGAUUCUGGAUUCUGCUGGGAGUAACAUAGGAUGGAGACAGUUGAAUUUAUCAGUUAGCAACAGCCAUAGACAAAAUUUCACACUUUUAAAAGUAGCUACUGACCCAGGGAGCUUUCCAAACUUAUGGCUGGUAUAUUUCUUACUCUUAUAAUUAAAAGACAAAUCUCCUAUCGCGGUAUUUGCUUAGGUUCAGAUUGUUUACUUCAUUUGUUGAUACCUGCUUCUGUGUUCAUGCAGCUUGUAGGGCAGAAUUCCAGUGGGACAGCAUGUACCUCUUUUCUAAGGACAAGAUCAGGACCUGAGAACCAAACCACGUUGUCAUGUGAAGCUUGGCUGUGAAAAUACCUGUCUGCUGCUGUGCGAAAUUGCCAGCAGUUGGAACACCAACAGAUCAGUCUGUAGGAGCAAUGUUGAAUAUAGAAAAUACAGCAGAAAAAGUCUCCUAGGAACAUAAAAUACAUUCUGCCCCUGUGGUCACUGUCUC
This 746-nucleotide long non-coding RNA is filed under the name Gallus gallus (chicken). RNAcentral's name for it is "lncRNA (ENSGALG00010018614.1)". Lineage: Eukaryota; Metazoa; Chordata; Aves; Galliformes; Phasianidae. The record is from RNAcentral.